AACGGCCGCGGUAUCCUAACCGUGCAAAGGUAGCAUAAUCAUUUGCCCAUUAAUUGUGGGCUAGUAUGAAAGGGUUAACGAAAUAAAAACUGUCUCAAUUAAUCACCUAAAAACUAUUCUCUACUUGAAGAAAAGUAGAUUGCCCCGAAGGACAAGAAGACCCUAUAGAGCUUAAUUUUACUUAUAGGUCAAACACUAUAAAAAUAUUCGGUUGGGGCGACCCAGGGCUAACUAAUCACCCACAAAAAAAAAGAUAUAUAAAUCAAGUAAAUGACCCUCAUUGAUCAAAAGACCAAGCUACCUUAGGGAUAACAGGCUAAUCCCACUUAAGAGUCCUUAUCAACAGUGGGGUUUGGCACCUCGAUGUUGGCUUAGG
Molecule: ribosomal RNA, 376 nt
Filed under: Amynthas vittatus
Lineage: Eukaryota; Metazoa; Annelida; Clitellata; Crassiclitellata; Megascolecidae
Description: partial 16S ribosomal RNA
Rfam family: Bacterial large subunit ribosomal RNA
Source: RNAcentral